AGUGGGCGGAGGAAGCUCAUCAGCGGGGCCACGUGCUGAGUGCGUGUCACUCUUCGGCCCCUGGGAAGGUCUGAGACUUGGGCCUCCCGCGGCCCUAACCGGGCUCUCCCCGAGCGGGGAGGUGAGUUCCCAGAGAGCAGGGCUCUACGCUUGGGCAGACUGGGCAGGAGAAGCCCCGAGUCGGGGCGGAUGCCUCCCUCGCCGGAGCGGAUGCCUCCCUCGCCGGAGCUUGGAACAGACUCACGGCCAGCAGUGCGAGUUCAAUGGCUGAGGUGAGGCACCUCCCGGGCCUCAUAACCCAAUUCAGACUACUCUCCCCCGCCCU
RNAcentral lists this RNase P RNA (325 nucleotides) under Mus musculus (house mouse). Its description in RNAcentral is "ribonuclease P RNA component H1 (Rpph1)". It matches the Rfam family "Nuclear RNase P". Rfam says of the family: Ribonuclease P (RNase P) is a ubiquitous endoribonuclease, found in archaea, bacteria and eukarya as well as chloroplasts and mitochondria. Its best characterised activity is the generation of mature 5'-ends of tRNAs by cleaving the 5'-leader elements of precursor-tRNAs. The record is from RNAcentral. Lineage: Eukaryota; Metazoa; Chordata; Mammalia; Rodentia; Muridae.